ACACCUUCAUCCCGAAUGCUGUGAGGUUUCUUUCCUCUUGUUUGAAGAUUGUCUCUUCCAACGUUUGCUCCGCUGGAGCCUCCGUCGCCGGUUCUAUCUUCGGCGCUCCCGACGACCUCCACAACUCUACUUCUGGUUAUUUAUCUGUAGGAUUGAAAGACUGAAAGAUACAAGGAAAUUAUCAAAUCUGGAACUGUAAGUAGGAAUUUAUUUGCUCUUCAUUUAUGAUUACUUGUUAGUUCAUCUAUGUGGGUGAUUAUUCUGGAUGAAUGAUUUCCAAGAAAAUGGAUUUGUCUUGUUAAUGGGCAAGUGGAGCCCAGACCUGGAGUUUUGAGAUUGAUGGAUGGGGCCAAGGCUGCUGUAAGAUAGACAUUUUACCUUAUAAAUGCAAUCGUCACUUUGUCAGGGCUCUUAAGUUUUCAUUGUAUUUGCAUCUGUUAUCCACAGUUAAUUAGGAAGACUACUUUUAUUGCCAAUAUUAGUCAAAUUCCAUGUUCCCUUUCUUACAUGAAGAAUCAUAUUUAAAUUAACCUUUUUGGUUGACGAUUAUAGGGUAAAAAAUUAGCAGUAUGCUCUGCUGCAACUAAAAAAGUUAUUUAUCAAUCCUCAAGCUUUUUUUUUUUUUUUUUGGUCUAUCAAAUUUAAAUUUGAUUAAAAAUUGCUCAAAAUCCAUCUCCAACCUUUUCAUACAAUGCUUAUCAAAUCAAGGGAAAAACACUUUCUUCAUCGCAUUGAGUGAAGCAUUUGGAAUAUUCUCUAUAUUGAGUGAAGCAUUACCAAAUUUCAUCAACAACAUGAGCACUAGGCAGGGAAAGUUCUCCUGAACCAGGUGCUUUGGCUUAUGCUCCCAUUUAGGUAUUAUUCUCCUGAACCAGGUGCUAGUGGCAGAAAUAAGGUCAAGAGACAUGUGCAUAUAUUUAGUUCUUAUAAGAAGGUAAAGCUCUUACAACAAGUAAAUAAACAUGUAUUAAGGUAGGCUGAUGUACGCCAUAACUCAUGACAAUGCUAAAUUUGGUAGGUUUAUGAUUUGUUUGACUAGAGUGUUUACAUAUCUUUCAAUGUGUGGUAUUUUAUUUGAGUUUUUUUUAUUUUAUGAAAUGUUUAGCUCAUAUAAGAAGGUAAAGUUCUUGUAAGUGAAUAAACAUGUAUCAAGGUAGGCUGAUGUACACCAUAAAUUGAGUAUUUACAUAUAUUUCAAAUGUGUCAUAUGUGACUUGAGCUUUUAAUUUUCUGAAAGUCGAGCGUUCAUGCUACAUUAGUUCUAGGUGCUUUAACUUUCUAAUAAUUUAAUCUCAUUAUGUGAGUGUAUAAUCUAGGUGUCUAUAUUUAUAUGCCUGUAGGUUAGUGUCAUUGUCUUUCUAAUUUUGGGCCGAGAUAUGACCCUUCAUAGUUCAUGGGGAUGCUCUGAACUUAUAGAUUCUUUAGCUAAAGCUUAUUUGUGGUUCUCAUUUUUCUCUUCCUUUUUGAUUUCAGUAAUUUGUGUUUGUCAUGUGUUCUAGUUUUUGCAACUAACUUCUGCAGCUUGUUGGGUCGUGUGCUGCCAUCUGUUACAUGGCAAUUUGGGUUGGAUACACAGACGUGCACUUAAUCUUUGGUGUUUCUACAACUUUAGAGCAUGUGCAGCUCAACAGGGAGAGCUAAAUAAUCAGUUGAAGCAGUAGCUCGAGAAGAUCUAGG
This is a non-coding RNA of Camellia sinensis, 1677 nucleotides long. The record is from RefSeq and is a predicted model, not a curated record. NCBI's taxonomy places the organism in Eukaryota, Viridiplantae, Streptophyta, Magnoliopsida, Ericales, Theaceae.